Long non-coding RNA from Dermochelys coriacea (leatherback sea turtle), 3383 nucleotides. RefSeq lists it as uncharacterized. The transcript has 2 exons. The record is from RefSeq and is a predicted model, not a curated record. Lineage: Eukaryota; Metazoa; Chordata; Testudines; Dermochelyidae.
CCCUCUGCAGAGACGUCAUGCAGGAGACCUAUGAGAAUGUGACCUCGCUGGUCACAGCUCUGCCAAGCUGCUCCAACUACUCCUUCCACCAUCCGAUUACAGCUACAGCUGACCCAGUGCACACAGCCGGAGAGGAUGCGGAUAAAUGCCGGGAUUCACAUCUGUAGAGCACAACACAAACAACGGCAUGUUCUUAGUCCUUCCUCGUAUCUGUUAUAGAUUCAUAGAUUUUUUUUUUUAAGGCCAAAGACGAUGAUUAGGCUAUGUAGUCUGAUUUCCUGUAUAACUCAGGCAAUAGAAUUUCAUCCAAUUAUUGCUGUACUGAGCUGAAUAUGUUGUGUCUGACUAAAUCAUCUUCCGGAAAGGCAGCCAGUCUUGACAUGAAGACUUCAACAGAGGGAGAAUUCUCCAGUUCCUGUGGUCAUUUGUUAACCUUUGCACCACCCUGGCAGAACCAUUCCCAGAGGCUCUUACCAGCUGCAGGGUUUCAGUUGGGAGCAGAGUUAAGGUUGCAUUGCAGGGGGGCAGCACUGGGCAACCUUAGCUCUGCAGUAAAGUAGUUUCUGGGCAUUUAGUUUGCUACAUUUUUUUAGUGGACAUUUUGCCACUAACUGUGUCUUUUGCCAACAUAGCUAUGUUGGUUUAGGGGGAGAGGGGUGAUUUUUCACAGCCCUGUAGAGCAGAGCUGUCCUGGCAAAACUGUAAAGAGCAGACCCUGUCAGAGCCUGCGUGUGGAUUUUACAGCACUUGAAAAUAUUCUCAACGGGGAAGCAAAACACACUUUACUGGACUUCGUACAAUUUGUCCUCAUCUUUCCUGAAAUGUGGCACCCAGAACUAGACAUAAUACUCCAGUUCAGGCCUAAUCAGCGCAGAGUAGAGCAGAAGAGCUAAUACGUUCCAGAAUUAUGUUUGCUUUUUUUGCAACACUGUUCAAUCAUGUUUAGUUCAUGAGCCACUAUGAACCCCAGAUCUUUUUCUGCAGUGCUCCUUCCUAGGCCGUCCUUUCCCAUUUUGUAUGUGUGCAGUUGAUUUUUCCUUCCUAAGUGAAGUACUUUGCAUUUGACUGUAUUGAAUUUCAUUCUAUUUAUUUAAUACCAUUUUUCCAGUUUGUCCAGAUCAUUUUGAAUUUUAAUCCUAUUCUCCAAAGCACUUGCAACCCCUCCCAGCAUGGUAUUGUCCACAGACUUUAGAAGUGUACUCUCUAUUCCAUUAUCUAAAUCACUGAUGAAGAUAUUGAACAGAACCGGACCUUUGAGACCCCACUCAAUAUGCCCUUCCAGCUUGACUGUGGACCACUAAUAAUUACUCUCUGGGAACAGUUUUCCAACCAGUUUUGCACCCAUCUUAUAGUAGCUCCAUCUAGGUUGAAAUUUCCCUAGUUUGUUUAUGAGAAGGUCAUGGAAGAAUGUAUCAAAAGCCUUACCAAUCUCAAGAUAUACCACAUUUAUCGCUUACCCCCUAUUCACAAGGCUUGUUACUCUGUGAAAGAAAGCUAUAAGGUUGGUUUGACACGGUUCUUGACAAAUACACGCUGACUGUUACCUAUCACCUUAUUAUCUUCUAGGGUUUGCAUAUUGCUUGCUUAAUUAUUUCCUCCAUUAUCUUUCAUGCAACAAAUCAUGCUGUUAGUUUGCUUCCAUGGUGGAAGCUGCAGGGUGUACCCCUGUACAUCCAAAUGUACCCCCAACAUGCCAUUAUCUAAACUCAGGAUCCUGUUUAUUUUUUUUGUGUAAAUUUUCUAAUUUCACAAUUUCUUCAUUAGCAUUUGACUCAGCAUACAAACUGUAACACCUCCCCCAUCUGUCUCCUGUCUUAAUCUUAGUCCCUUUGGGGGUUCUGUGUCUGUAGAAUUUCCAGCACAGUGGGAUCCGGUCAAUGACUGGGGAUAUGAGCAUUACAGUAAUAAAAAUAAUAAAUAACUGUAAUUCGGAGGGUCCAGGCAGUGGGAGGGAGGCUGUUGGAGAGCAGGAGAGUGUCCAGGUGGUGGUAGGCUGGUGGGGGAUAGGUUUGGGGUGAAGAGUUCCUGUGAGCUGGGACGUCUGGGGGCAGGGGAAAGGAGAUGUAUCAUGGGGUAGGUUCUGUAGGGAGUUGUGAUGCAAUGGAGGGCUGGAAGAAAGGGGAAGAAGUUGGAUCAGGAUGUCAAGGAGUUGGGAAGGGGGGGUGCGAGUAAAGGGGAGGUGGGAGCUGGGUAGUGUUUGCUCCAGGAAAUGGGGGAACUAGCAAUGGGAGGGAGGGAACAGGAGCUCUUGGGAGUCGGAAGCAAAGACGACUUGGGGCAGAGGGAAUGUGAGACGGGAAGUGGCGGGCAGUGGGAAAUUUGGGGGAAGCUCUAGUGAGGAAGGCUGCAGGCAAUGGGAGGGGAGGAGAGAACAGAAGGAGCGGGUGCUUCUGGGGCCCAAGAAGGUGGAGAGGGUUGAGAGCAGUGGGUGGAAGGGGAGCGGGUGUUGUAAUGAGUGAGAGGACUAGGUACACCCUAUCCCCUUUCUGGUGUCUCUCAGUGCCCCCCCCCUCCACCCACAGGUGUCAGGCUUCCUGCCUUUUCCUCUCCGAGACUGGAAUUCUGCAACUAUCCUGUUCCUAGACUAAACCGGGGCUACAAUGUCCUAUGUAUCCACUGUGCUUACCCAGCAGGCCUGGCACAAAUAUGCACUUCCUAGGUUAUGUCUGUGACUCACAGCAUCCCGGGGCAAGUGGCUCUGUGGUAUCUGAUAGCAAGUUUCAGCUGGCCUGACCCAUUCAGUGUACCCCAACUCACUAAUGUCUUCACCUGUAUUGAAAAGGUGUCCCGUAAGAUAUCAACAGAAAGCUACUGGCAUAAUGUUCAUUAAUAUUAUUGCAUGACGUAUGUAUGGAGGAGAAAUGCAAGAUUAGAGAUAGCUGGGAAAUGAUGUUCUUAAAGCAUGUCUGUCAGCCAGGGUUGAAGUUCCCCCACUCUAGACAAAGGCAGGUGGUUCUGCCACCUAGAAGGCACUUUCAGGGUACAUUAAGAGUCAAUGGGAAUGCAAUUUACAUAACCAAUAAACAAACCCAUCACACUAACAAGGGGCAGAAAGAACCACUGAGCAUCAUGGCAGGGGAGGAUAUCGCAGGAACAAACCAAAUUCUAUUUUAGCAAACACCAGCAGUGGAAGAAACCACCAUGGAACUUCAUUUAAGAAGACAAAGGAACCAAGCCCUUUGGACUUUGGGGAAGAUAUUGAGGAAGGGGGUGCUCUGCCCUCUUGCUGGAAAGUAGUGUGGUCAGAAUCUUACCUUGGACCAGGACUAUAGUUUUAUUAGGUCAUUGUUCACUUCCACUUCCUGGGAACCAUUUCUAACACUGUUGUUUAUACCUGAACUCACUUUAAAUGCUUGUGUUAGAUUAAACGUUUAGUAAAUGAA